UUAAGCUGUGUAACAUAAGCCUGUUUAACAAAUUUCUAACUAAAACACCUCAGGUUUAAAUUUCACAUCUAAACUAGAGCUUAUUAUAGAAAUCAUUAUCCCCUUUAAAGCUUGUUGGGAAAAUAAUAAUAAAUAUGGUUAAAAUAAUAAGGUGGCUACCAGAAAAGUUAAUUUUGUUUAUAAACCAAUAUUAGAAAAUGGUUAUUCAACCCUCAAAAAUCGGUUUUUGCCAUUUCCUAACUUACUUACUUUACCUAAGUUUCGAUUAAAAAAAAAUUUAAAAAAAGGUUUCAAUUUCGCUUGCUAGUAACAGCGUAGCAGAACAAAUUGUUUGCUCACAUUUGAGUGCCAAACGCUUUUAUUCUUAAAAGAUAGUUACAGGUAAAAUAUGAUUUUUUUAGAACUUAGAAAUAUAUGAUUCGCAUGAAUUUUGUCUUAAAUUUUAAGCCUAUCGAAGGAAAUCUUAAGCCCACCAAAAAUUUUUAAGUAACACGUCAGUGAAGUAACAAAGUAAAAACUAACUCUACUCUUUCAAGGGACAUCGGUGUUCCUUUUAAAUAUUUUUUCUGAUGUUCCAUUUACGAGCAAAAAUAUAUUCUGUUAUUAGUAGUUACAAAAAAAAUAUCGGACAGUUUUUAUAUAUUUGUACUAAAAUAUAAAAUUAAAGUAUGUAUUGUUUCACUCAUAUUCGAAAACUUAUCCACUGAUUUUGUAUAUUAUCGAAAUAUCAAUGAUGAAUAACAGUUUCUCUAAAUAACUACACAUUCCCAUAUCUAGGUCGCUGAUGCAUCACUACUAAAACUGAGAUUAAAUGAAGAUAAAAUUAAAAAAGAAAUUUUGCUUAAUAUGGUUCAGAUAAUUAUUAAGCUUAAAAUAAUGAAAUGUGAACAAUCUGAAAUAUUUUCAAUGGAAAGGACGGUGGGUAAAAAUUUAUAUUUUUCGUGACUAAUAUGUUAGAACGCAUAUAAAUCUUAUACUUAACCAAGAUAAAUGAGAAUUUUAAAAAAAAUACAUUACGACCAAUAUAACUAUUUUUCCAAAAAUUAUUAUGUUAGGAGCUCAAAUCUAGUUACUAUAAUUACUAGUAUUUUUAAAUAAAAAAUUAAAAUAAGGAGAUUUUAAGGUCCUAAGCAACCAUUGCUCAUAACUCUCUAUUCCACUUACUCUUUGAAACCGUGGUGGCUCAGGGCGUAGAGCACUCGCCUCCCAAUGACAUGAACUGGACGAUGCGAAUUCCGCACUCGGAUCGCACCGACUACAGUGCUGACGUAACAUAUUCUCAGUGGUAAACGGACCAUAGGUUAGAAUCCCCUUGCCAUAAGGAUAAUCGGGGGGGGGAGUUUUCGUGGUUUUCCUCUUAAUGUGACGAAAAUGCGAGUCCCAUCAAAAAACUCCUCCACGAAAGUAAAUUUCUCCCAAUAUUUAAUCCAUGAGUUUCCUUGUCUUCUGGAUUGUGUUAAAAAUUACAAGGCUACGGAGUUGAACAUUAGUAGUCGUAAACCCUAAAUUGGGUCAGCUGUUCAACGACAGUUAUAAAAUAAAAUAACCCUCCAUCCCCUUGUAAGUAACAAUAAGCAAAUCAUUAAGUUGUUCAUUAGUCAGUUAUAUUGGUAUUUAACAAAUUACAGAUAUAUAUUAAGGUUUAUAUUACAGAUAAGUAAAGCCUGGAUUUUAAUAACAUCUGCAUAUUUAGACACUUUUGCUAGUUUAGGGAGAAAACUUUUUUUAAAUAGAAGUAAAUUAUUUUUACAACUUUCACUCAUUUUAACACUAGUAGACUGUUCUAGUUGCAAAUAACUUAGAGCCUUAUUUGAUUUACAGCUGGAACUGGAGUGCAAUUUCUUUAGUAAAAAAAAAUUUUUUUUUAAAAUCUGAAUUCGAUUUGACAGUGCAUCAAACGAGUUUUCCUUUCAUCUUUUGAAUUAGUGAAAAUUAAGUUUUAUAUUCUCUUAUUAAAAAUGUUUUAAUACAAUUGCAUGCUAUAUUAAAUUUCAGAAAAGAUGUGUUUCAGAUUUAAUUCUUGUAUUAAUACAAGGGACUUUUUUUUCCUCGUAGUGGUAUUUUUUGCUAUUUUUAAAGGUAUGUUUUGCUAUUUUUUGGAGAUUUCUUGGGUUUUCAAAAUCCGGACUUUACGAAUCAGCAAUAGAAAACUAACACAUAUUCCUAGACUGAUAAAACAAAUGAGAAAAAAAAUUUCUAGAACCUUAAACUUUUAAUAUUAGUGUGGAUUCUCUAGCCACUUUACUAUUUUCGCGUGUCAUAUGUUGGCCCGAUUUGAUCACCUCUACGUUAAGCCAUCUGAAAAAAUAGUUUCCCAACCACAAAAAUUUUUUUGCAAAAAAAAAAAAUAAAUAAAAAAAGACAAGUUACAUCUAAUUUUUGACAUUAAAAUCACACGUUUGAAUCUUGUCUCCAAAUGUAUGACCGUUUUAAUACAUCGUUAGUUCAUACAUCAAACUAUAAAAAAAAGAAAAAUUGUUACAAACAAUUUAAUGGUCAUAUCAGAAGUUAACUAUUUAUUGAGCUACAGUGUUGAGAGCUUUGACCUAGAAUUUUGACCACAACGAUAACACAUUUUCGAAAAUUAUUAACCGUAAAAAAUCGUUAACCAGAAAUUUUUUUUAAACCAAAAUAAGAAUUGCGGCUAAAACAGCUAUUUAAAACUUUUAAAAAAAUAUCUGUCCCUUUUCAACGAAGUAUAAAAUUUUAUACAGUGUUUGCUUCUAAGGAAAAGCUACAGAAAAAGCUUUUUUUGCGUGCUAAAAAUUUCCGUUUGUCAACUUUUUACAAAACAGCUUCUUGUUCAAAACACCUAAUUUUUGAGCAAAAUUUACGAAUUUUGUUUGCCCAUAGAGCUCUCUUGCUUAACAGCUGAAAACAUUUUCUUAACUGAUCCAUCAAAUAUAAAGUUACGGCAAAACAGGUUUUAACUAAUUUUUGGCCAAAACAAAAAUCAAAUAAAAUUCUGAAUUUUGUCACAAAAUGUUAGCUUAUUAUAAGAUCGUGAACUCACUUUCACCCACCAAAACUUUUGAAACAAGCAAAAGUUAAAAUAAUUUUUUUUAAUUUAUUUAUUUAUUUAUUUUUUUUAGAUUAACAAGGAGAGAGAGAGGGACAGUUAUCCUGGGGACUGCUGAGGGCCGAUCAGAAUUCCUUACGAAAAUAUAGCGUUCAUUAAUGUUCUUUUUCUUUCAAAGAAAAUGGUGGUCACCUUUAAUUUUCUGGUAGAGAGUUACAGGUCCUCCUUUGGCAAGAUCGAGGUGAAACAACUAAGGCUACUAUUUUUAGGGUUAAAGAGAGAAUAGAAGGGCUAGGUCACACUCCUUUGAAGAGACUCGUGCCGCUCCAAUCUUCUGAUUUCACCAGUGACGUCUCGGCGGCGAAAGUCUCAACUUCUCGCUUUACAAAUAAAUUGUUUCGCAUCUAAUUAGCGUCUUUUUUAAACUUAUUUCAAAACAUUCAUUGUUUUCGAUAUUUUUUUUAAAUAUUUAUUUUAAAGGUUAUUUUCUUCACACCUGUUUGCAAAAAUUUAGCAGUAGUAGCCAAUAACAUCUCGCGCGAUAGCGACCGGCAAGAAUUAUUAUAAAACACAAAAUGAGAAACAAUUUCGAGGAACGAUCUGGAACAUAGAAUUUUCUAUGUUUUAUUCCAGAAAAUAUAAAGGUGUCAUCAAAUGAGGUAUAAAAUAUACUGGAAGAAUUUAUUCUGCUGUGAAUAAAAGUAUUAUAUUUCCUG
Parasteatoda tepidariorum (common house spider) is the source of this 3735-nucleotide non-coding RNA. Lineage: Eukaryota; Metazoa; Arthropoda; Arachnida; Araneae; Theridiidae. The record is from RefSeq and is a predicted model, not a curated record.